GACGAACGCUGGCGGCGUGCUUAACACAUGCAAGUCGAACGGAAAGGCCCUGCUUUUGUGGGGUGCUCGAGUGGCGAACGGGUGGGUAACACGUGAGUAACCUGCCCUUGACUUUGGGAUAGCUUCAGGAAACUGGGGCUAAUACCGGAUAGGAGCUCCUGCUGCAUGGUGGGGGUUGGAAAGUUUCGGCGGUUGGGGAUGGACUCGCGGCUUAUCAGCUUGUUGGUGGGGUAGUGGCUUACCAAGGCUUUGACGGGUAGCCGGCCUGAGAGGGUGACCGGCCACAUUGGGACUGAGAUACGGCCCAGACUCCUACGGGAGGCAGCAGUGGGGAAUAUUGCACAAUGGGCGGAAGCCUGAUGCAGCAACGCCGCGUGCGGGAUGACGGCCUUCGGGUUGUAAACCGCUUUCGCCUGUGACGAAGCGUGAGUGACGGUAAUGGGUAAAGAAGCACCGGCUAACUACGUG
This 468-nucleotide ribosomal RNA is filed under the name uncultured bacterium. RNAcentral's name for it is "partial 16S ribosomal RNA". It matches the Rfam family "Bacterial small subunit ribosomal RNA", at positions 28 to 507 of the family's 1533-position model. The record is from RNAcentral.